GGUUAAGCGACUAAGCGUACACGGUGGAUGCCCUGGCAGUCAGAGGCGAUGAAGGACGUGCUAAUCUGCGAAAAGCGUCGGUAAGGUGAUAUGAACCGUUACAGCCGGCGAUGUCCGAAUGGGGAAACCCAGUGCAAUUCGUUGCACUAUCGUUAACUGAAUACAUAGGUUAACGAGGCGAACCGGGGGAACUGAAACAUCUAAGUACCCCGAGGAAAAGAAAUCAACCGAGAUUCCCCCAGUAGCGGCGAGCGAACGGGGAGCAGCCCGGAGUCUGAAUCAGCUUGUGUGUUAGUGGAAGCGUCUGGAAAGUCGCAGGGUACAGGGUGAUACUCCCGUACACUAAAACACACAGGUUGUGAACUCGAAGAGUAGGGCGGGACACGUGGUAUCCUGUCUGAAUAUGGGGGGACCAUCCUCCAAGGCUAAAUACUCCUGACUGACCGAUAGUGAACCAGUACCGUGAGGGAAAGGCGAAAAGAACCCCGGCGAGGGGAGUGAAAAAGAACCUGAAACCGUGUACGUACAAGCAGUAGGAGCCCACUUGUUGGGUGACUGCGUACCUUUUGUAUAAUGGGUCAGCGACUUAUAUUCUGUAGCAAGGUUAACCGUAUAGGGGAGCCGCAGGGAAACCGAGUCUUAACUGGGCGUUAAGUUGCAGGGUAUAGACCCGAAACCCGGUGAUCUAGCCAUGGGCAGGUUGAAGGUUGGGUAACACUAACUGGAGGACCGAACCGACUAAUGUUGAAAAAUUAGCGGAUGACUUGUGGCUGGGGGUGAAAGGCCAAUCAAACCGGGAGAUAGCUGGUUCUCCCCGAAAGCUAUUUAGGUAGCGCCUCGUGAAUUCAUCUUCGGGGGUAGAGCACUGUUUCGGCUAGGGGGUCAUCCCGACUUACCAACCCGAUGCAAACUACGAAUACCGAAGAAUGUUAUCACGGGAGACACACGGCGGGUGCUAACGUCCGUCGUGAAGAGGGAAACAACCCAGACCGCCAGCUAAGGUCCCAAAGUCAUGGUUAAGUGGGAAACGAUGUGGGAAGGCCCAGACAGCCAGGAUGUUGGCUUAGAAGCAGCCAUCAUUUAAAGAAAGCGUAAUAGCUCACUGGUCGAGUCGGCCUGCGCGGAAGAUGUAACGGGGCUAAACCAUGCACCGAAGCUGCGGCAGCGACACUAUGUGUUGUUGGGUAGGGGAGCGUUCUGUAAGCCGUUGAAGGUGGCCUGUGAGGGUUGCUGGAGGUAUCAGAAGUGCGAAUGCUGACAUAAGUAACGAUAAUGCGGGUGAAAAACCCGCACGCCGGAAGACCAAGGGUUCCUGUCCAACGUUAAUCGGGGCAGGGUGAGUCGACCCCUAAGGCGAGGCCGAAAGGCGUAGUCGAUGGGAAACAGGUUAAUAUUCCUGUACUCGGUGUUACUGCGAAGGGGGGACGGAGAAGGCUAUGUUGGCCGGGCGACGGUUGUCCCGGUUUAAGCAUGUAGGCGGAUGUUCCAGGUAAAUCCGGAACGUUACUAACGCUGAGGUGUGAUGACGAGGCACUACGGUGCUGAAGUGACAAAUGCCCUGCUUCCAGGAAAAGCCUCUAAGCAUCAGGUAACAUCAAAUCGUACCCCAAACCGACACAGGUGGUCAGGUAGAGAAUACCAAGGCGCUUGAGAGAACUCGGGUGAAGGAACUAGGCAAAAUGGUGCCGUAACUUCGGGAGAAGGCACGCUGAUGGUAGGUGAAGUGACUUGCUCAUGGAGCUGAAAUCAGUCGAAGAUACCAGCUGGCUGCAACUGUUUAUUAAAAACACAGCACUGUGCAAACACGAAAGUGGACGUAUACGGUGUGACGCCUGCCCGGUGCCGGAAGGUUAAUUGAUGGGGUUAUCCGUAAGGAGAAGCUCUUGAUCGAAGCCCCGGUAAACGGCGGCCGUAACUAUAACGGUCCUAAGGUAGCGAAAUUCCUUGUCGGGUAAGUUCCGACCUGCACGAAUGGCGUAAUGAUGGCCAGGCUGUCUCCACCCGAGACUCAGUGAAAUUGAACUCGCUGUGAAGAUGCAGUGUACCCGCGGCAAGACGGAAAGACCCCGUGAACCUUUACUAUAGCUUGACACUGAACACUGGUCCUUGAUGUGUAGGAUAGGUGGGAGGCUUUGAAGUGUGGACGCCAGUCUGCAUGGAGCCAUCCUUGAAAUACCACCCUUUAAUGGCUGGUGUUCUAACGUGGGCCCCUGAUCGGGGUUGCGGACAGUGUCUGGUGGGUAGUUUGACUGGGGCGGUCUCCUCCUAAAGAGUAACGGAGGAGCACGAAGGUCAGCUAAUCCUGGUCGGACAUCAGGAGGUUAGUGCAAUGGCAUAAGCUGGCUUGACUGCGAGCGUGACGGCGCGAGCAGGUGCGAAAGCAGGUCAUAGUGAUCCGGUGGUUCUGAAUGGAAGGGCCAUCGCUCAACGGAUAAAAGGUACUCCGGGGAUAACAGGCUGAUACCGCCCAAGAGUUCAUAUCGACGGCGGUGUUUGGCACCUCGAUGUCGGCUCAUCACAUCCUGGGGCUGAAGUAGGUCCCAAGGGUAUGGCUGUUCGCCAUUUAAAGUGGUACGCGAGCUGGGUUUAGAACGUCGUGAGACAGUUCGGUCCCUAUCUGCCGUGGGCGCUGGAGAAUUGAGGGGGGCUGCUCCUAGUACGAGAGGACCGGAGUGGACGCAUCACUGGUGUUCGGGUUGUCAUGCCAAUGGCAUUGCCCGGUAGCUAAAUGCGGAAGAGAUAAGUGCUGAAAGCAUCUAAGCACGAAACUUGCCCCGAGAUGAGUUCUCCCUGACCCUUUAAGGGUCCUGAAGGAACGUUGAAGACGACGACGUUGAUAGGCCGGGUGUGUAAGCGCAGCGAUGCGUUGAGCUAACCGGUACUAAUGAACCGUGAGGCUUAACCUU
Molecule: ribosomal RNA, 2906 nt
Filed under: Klebsiella michiganensis
Lineage: Bacteria; Pseudomonadati; Pseudomonadota; Gammaproteobacteria; Enterobacterales; Enterobacteriaceae
Description: 23S ribosomal RNA
Rfam family: Bacterial large subunit ribosomal RNA
Source: RNAcentral